Molecule: long non-coding RNA, 1833 nt
Organism: Aquila chrysaetos chrysaetos
Lineage: Eukaryota; Metazoa; Chordata; Aves; Accipitriformes; Accipitridae
Exons: 3
Source: RefSeq, a predicted model, not a curated record
GUGGUGGUGGUGGUGGGCGGGGGCGGGGGUGACCCGGGAUCUCCCCUCCUGUUCAAACCAGCGGCGAGCUGGGCUGUAAAAGUUUUUUCUAUCACUUCACGGCGUGCGUAAAUUUCACGGGAGGUUUUAUUUCUGUUAAAUUCCUUGAAGCGGUUGAACUUCAAAAUACAAUAGCCACACAGCAUUAGUCUGACAUGGUUUUAAUUGUAGCGAAUCCCUCGGGUUUGGCAGAGCGUUUUGAGGUGCGGCUUUUCUGCUGUGGACAAGGUAGUCUGGAGGUAGCAAAGCUUCGUCCGUAACAGCAAACGCAGAUUUAUUCCCUUUGAUCCCUCCCAUAGGACAAUAUGUACAGCUUUCUCCAUUCCUGAAUGAUAAUACAUGACUGGAGCGAGGGAAAAAUACUCAAGGCAAUAAAUAGCCUAGCUUAGAUGAGUGAAGCUUUAGUUACCAGAACCUAUUUUUAGGGCAUAAGUUGAAUUUAAGUGGCUCUAAUCUUUAUAUGGGGAAUUGGCACGGGGUUUCUCCUGUUGUAUUUUAUUUAUAGCUGUUUCUUCUCCUUUCCAGGGAAAUAAGAUUAGCCUCAUUAUUUCCAUUAUUAUUAUUACUCUGCCAUUAUUACUAUUCAGUCCAUCCAUCCAUCCACCCAUUUAGGUCUUGUCUGGAAUUACCUAGGAUUAUCCUGCUAAUGCUUGUUGCCUUCACACAGAAUAUCAUUUUUGUUGCUAAGAAACUGCUUUUGCAUAACAGACAGCGUGGGCCUAAUUUUCACUUCAGCAGCUGUUCAAGUCAACGGGAGCAGCAGGUGCUCGGCGCUCCUGAGAGCCAGAGCCAAAGUGUCCGUGGCAGAAUUCCCACACAAGGUCUGACUGUGCAUGCAAGUGUGUCAUCUACGUGUGCGAUUUGCUUGGGGGACGCAGCAGCUUCAUGCUUGAAAAGAAAAGGAGCAAAGGUGUCUCGAGCGUCUCCAGCGUGUCUGUGCUGCACUACUGCAGUUUCCUGCACGCCGGGACAGGAGGAGCAGCUGCGCGCGCUGGAAUAUUUGCUUGGGAUGGAUGCUGCCCUUUGCAGUGCAAAAAACUCAGCGUUCAUUGUGAGACCAUGUCAAAUCUCGCUAUAAUCUUCUGUCCAAUUUUGUGACUGUACCUGUGGCAAGAACACUUUACAGUCCUUGUUCUGGAACAGUGCAGCCCAGCACAAUGAUACACCAGGUCCAGGAAGGGAUUUGCCACAAAUCAUCCCUAGAAAAUCAUGUAAUAAGAUAGAAGUAACUGCUCAGCUUGAACAAGGGGUGAGGUCCUCUGCUGUUUUUACACACAUGCGUUCCCUUUUUGGAGCAAGGUAUUUAGUAGAAAACAUAACUUCCAGGCUCAGAAGUGUGCGAGACUUUUGUCUAGACUUCAAAUAGCGAGAUCUGUCUCCAUAGGGCCAUAUUUCUCAAUGUGAUAUUUUUCAGGAUGGGAUCUGCCACUUCUAAUUUGUCCCAGAGAUUUCAACAACGUGGAAGCUUAUGGCUGCUUGUAAUGGUGGCAGAUGAACCCCAUAGCACUGAGAGGCUGCUGUAGUUUCUUUGUAAUUGUUUAUAUAGCUAAGAUCUAAACUUAGCUACAGAACAUGGUGAAAAAAAGCCUGGUUAGAAGGAGUGGGGACUCAAGAGCUUAGCCUCCAGCUAUCUUAGAAGAGGCUGGCUCAUCACAGAGAGAUCCCCAGCUGCACUUCCAGGCUGUAAAUUAAACAAACAGUAUUUCCUAUAUACCAGACCACAGGGAUGGUAGAAAGAAUAGUGUGGCCUUAUUGCUGUUAUUUCCUUUGGUUUCAAUCUCUGUCCUCUGCCCC